GUAGCGGCGAGCGAACGGGGAGGAGCCCAGAGCCUGAAUCAGCAUGUGUGUUAGUGGAAGCGUCUGGAAAGGCGCGCGAUACAGGGUGACAGCCCCGUACACAAAAGCGCAUGUGCUGUGAGCUCGAUGAGUAGGGCGGGACACGUGGUAUCCUGUCUGAAUAUGGGGGGACCAUCCUCCAAGGCUAAAUACUCCUGACUGACCGAUAGUGAACCAGUACCGUGAGGGAAAGGCGAAAAGAACCCCGGCGAGGGGAGUGAAAAAGAACCUGAAACCGUGUACGUACAAGCAGUGGGAGCACAGGUUUACCUG
RNAcentral lists this ribosomal RNA (312 nucleotides) under Salmonella enterica subsp. enterica serovar Cerro. RNAcentral describes it as "partial 23S ribosomal RNA". It matches the Rfam family "Bacterial large subunit ribosomal RNA", at positions 243 to 591 of the family's 2925-position model. Lineage: Bacteria; Pseudomonadati; Pseudomonadota; Gammaproteobacteria; Enterobacterales; Enterobacteriaceae. The record is from RNAcentral.